CUAGCGAGACUGCCAGUGAUAACUGGAGGAAGUGGGGAUGGCGUCAAAUCAUCAUGCCCCUUAUGACCUGGGCUACAAACGUGAUACAAUGGCUGGAACAAAGGGAUGCGAAGCAGUGAUGUGGAGCGAAACCCAUAAAAACAGUCUCAGUUCGGAUUGAAGUCUGCAACUCGACUUCAUGAAGUCGGAAUCGCUAGUAAUCGCGGAUCAGAACGCCGCGGUGAAUACGUUCUCGGGGUUU
Molecule: ribosomal RNA, 241 nt
Filed under: uncultured Acholeplasma sp.
Lineage: Bacteria; Bacillati; Mycoplasmatota; Mollicutes; Acholeplasmatales; Acholeplasmataceae
Description: partial 16S ribosomal RNA
Rfam family: Bacterial small subunit ribosomal RNA
Source: RNAcentral